CACCGCCCGUCACACCAUGGGAGUCAGUAACGCCCGAAGUCAGUGACCCAACCGUAAGGAGGGAGCUGCCGAAGGUGGGACCGAUAACUGGGGUGAAGUCGUAACAAGGUAGCCGUAUCGGAAGGUGCGGCUG
RNAcentral lists this non-coding RNA (133 nucleotides) under [Ruminococcus] lactaris ATCC 29176. RNAcentral describes it as "Ruminococcus lactaris ATCC 29176 Bacterial small subunit ribosomal RNA". It matches the Rfam family "Bacterial small subunit ribosomal RNA", at positions 1388 to 1520 of the family's 1533-position model. The record is from Rfam by way of RNAcentral. Lineage: Bacteria; Bacillati; Bacillota; Clostridia; Lachnospirales; Lachnospiraceae.